This 259-nucleotide ribosomal RNA is filed under the name uncultured prokaryote. RNAcentral's name for it is "partial 16S ribosomal RNA". It matches the Rfam family "Bacterial small subunit ribosomal RNA", at positions 524 to 782 of the family's 1533-position model. The record is from RNAcentral.
UACGUAGGUGCGAGCGUUGUCCGGAAUUACUGGGCGUAAAGAGCUCGUAGGUGGUUUGUCACGUCGUCUGUGAAAUUCCGGGGCUUAACCUCGGGCGUGCAGGCGAUACGGGCAAUACUUGAGUGCUGUAGGGGAGACUGGAAUUCCUGGUGUAGCGGUGAAAUGCGCAGAUAUCAGGAGGAACACCAAUGGCGAAGGCAGCUCACAAAGCCAAGAUUGACGCUGAGGCACGAAAGUGUGGGGAUCAAACAGGAUUAGA